Molecule: ribosomal RNA, 404 nt
Filed under: uncultured bacterium
Lineage: Bacteria
Description: bacterial SSU rRNA
Rfam family: Bacterial small subunit ribosomal RNA
Source: RNAcentral
UGGGGAAUAUUUCACAAUGGAGGAAACUCUGAUGCAGCGACGCCGCGUGAGUGAAGAAGGUCUUCGGAUCGUAAAACUCUGUCCUUGGUGACGAAAAAAAUGACGGUAGCCAAGGAGGAAGCCCCGGCUAACUACGUGCCAGCAGCCGCGGUAAUACGUAGGGGGCGAGCGUUGUCCGGAUUUACUGGGCGUAAAGGGUGAGUAGGCGGUAAUAUGUGUCAGAUGUAAAAGGCUAUGGCUUAACCAUAGUUAGCAUUUGAAACUGUAUUACUUGAGUGCAGGAGAGGUAAGUGGAAUUCCUAGUGUAGCGGUGAAAUGCGUAGAUAUUAGGAGGAACACCAGUGGCGAAGGCGACUUACUGGACUGUAACUGACGCUGAGUCACGAAAGCGUGGGUAGCAAACA